RNAcentral lists this ribosomal RNA (555 nucleotides) under uncultured marine eukaryote. RNAcentral describes it as "SSU rRNA". It matches the Rfam family "Eukaryotic small subunit ribosomal RNA", at positions 631 to 1187 of the family's 1831-position model. The record is from RNAcentral.
UAGUUGGAUUUCUGGACGAAGCUGUCGGUCCGCCGCUGUGCGCUGUGUACUUGAUCAGCCUUCGUUCAUCCUUGCAGGGAAGCGCAUUUCGGCAUUCAGUUGUCGGGGCGGGGAACUGCAUCUUUUACUGUGAAAAAAUUAGAGUGUUUAAAGCAGGCAUUUUGCUGUGAAUACAUUAGCAUGGAAUAAUAACAUAGGACCUCGGUUCUAUUUUGUUGGUUGGAGACCAAGGUAAUGAUUAAUAGGGACAGUUGGGGGUAUUCAUAUUUAAUUGUCAGAGGUGAAAUUCUUGGAUUUAUGAAAGAUGAACUCAUGCGAAAGCAUUUACCAAGGAUGUUUUCAUUAAUCAAGAACGAAAGUUAGGGGAUCGAAGAGGAUUAGAUACCCUCGUAGUCUUAACCAUAAACUAUGCCGACUAGGGAUGGAGGACGUACAUUUUUGGCUCCUUCAGCACCUUACGAGAAAUCAAAGUCUUUGGGUUCCGGGGGGAGUAUGGUCGCAAGGCUGAAACUUAAAGGAAUUGACGGAAGGGCACCACCAGGAGUGGAGCCUGCG